CGGUCGCCUCACCGCGAGUACUGGUCCGGCUGGACCUUUCCUUCUGGGGAAUCCCAUGGCCUUCACUGGCUGUGGGGGGAACCAGGACUUUUACUGUGAAAAAAUUAGAGUGUUCAAAGCAGGCCUUUGCUCGAAUACAUUAGCAUGGAAUAAUAGAAUAGGACGUGCGGUUCUAUUUUGUUGGUUUCUAGGACCGCCGUAAUGAUUAAUAGGGAUAGUCGGGGGCGUCAGUAUUCAGCUGUCAGAGGUGAAAUUCUUGGAUUUGCUGAAGACUAACUACUGCGAAAGCAUUCGCCAAGGAUGUUUUCAUUAAUCAGGGAACGAAAGUUAGGGGAUCGAAGACGAUCAGAUACCGUCGUAGUCUUAACCAUAAACUAUGCCGACUAGGGAUCGGGCGGUGUUUCUAUGAUGACCCGCUCGGCACCUUACGAGAAAUCAAAGUUUUUGGGUUCUGGGGGGAGUAUGGUCGCAAGGCUGAAACUUAAAGAAAUUGACGG
This 497-nucleotide ribosomal RNA is filed under the name Trichocomaceae sp. RNAcentral describes it as "SSU rRNA". It matches the Rfam family "Eukaryotic small subunit ribosomal RNA", at positions 658 to 1159 of the family's 1831-position model. Lineage: Eukaryota; Fungi; Ascomycota; Eurotiomycetes; Eurotiales; Trichocomaceae. The record is from RNAcentral.